RNAcentral lists this RNase P RNA (347 nucleotides) under Erysipelotrichaceae bacterium. RNAcentral describes it as "RNase P RNA component class B". It matches the Rfam family "Bacterial RNase P class B". From Rfam's summary of the family: Ribonuclease P (RNase P) is a ubiquitous endoribonuclease, found in archaea, bacteria and eukarya as well as chloroplasts and mitochondria. The record is from RNAcentral. Lineage: Bacteria; Bacillati; Bacillota; Erysipelotrichia; Erysipelotrichales; Erysipelotrichaceae.
ACGGAAAGAUAACUGAGCACAUUUUAUGUGUUAGGAAAGUCCAUACUAGCACAAUCUGCGAUGAUUGUAGUGUUUGCGCUUAACGAAAAAAUAAGUUAAGGAACUAAUUUAUUAGUUACGGCGGAUGAAACCUAAAGCUUAAUGCCAUGGUGUAGUCCUGAAAGUGCCACAGAGACGAGUUUCUUUUGGAAACAAAAGAGUGGAACGGGUAAACCCCACAAGCUAGCAACCCAAAUUUUGGUAGGGGCAUGAUUUUAGGGAGAAAUGAAUCCACUAAAAUUACACUUGUUUAUAGUGAGAUAAAUGGUUAUCCCUUCUUAUAGAAGGACAGAAUAUGGCUUACAAAG